This 2073-nucleotide ribosomal RNA is filed under the name Escherichia coli. Its description in RNAcentral is "partial 23S ribosomal RNA". It matches the Rfam family "Bacterial large subunit ribosomal RNA", at positions 743 to 2797 of the family's 2925-position model. The record is from RNAcentral. Lineage: Bacteria; Pseudomonadati; Pseudomonadota; Gammaproteobacteria; Enterobacterales; Enterobacteriaceae.
GGUUGAAGGUUGGGUAACACUAACUGGAGGACCGAACCGACUAAUGUUGAAAAAUUAGCGGAUGACUUGUGGCUGGGGGUGAAAGGCCAAUCAAACCGGGAGAUAGCUGGUUCUCCCCGAAAGCUAUUUAGGUAGCGCCUCGUGAAUUCAUCUCCGGGGGUAGAGCACUGUUUCGGCAAGGGGGUCAUCCCGACUUACCAACCCGAUGCAAACUGCGAAUACCGGAGAAUGUUAUCACGGGAGACACACGGCGGGUGCUAACGUCCGUCGUGAAGAGGGAAACAACCCAGACCGCCAGCUAAGGUCCCAAAGUCAUGGUUAAGUGGGAAACGAUGUGGGAAGGCCCAGACAGCCAGGAUGUUGGCUUAGAAGCAGCCAUCAUUUAAAGAAAGCGUAAUAGCUCACUGGUCGAGUCGGCCUGCGCGGAAGAUGUAACGGGGCUAAACCAUGCACCGAAGCUGCGGCAGCGACACUAUGUGUUGUUGGGUAGGGGAGCGUUCUGUAAGCCUGUGAAGGUGGCCUGUGAGGGUUGCUGGAGGUAUCAGAAGUGCGAAUGCUGACAUAAGUAACGAUAAAGCGGGUGAAAAGCCCGCUCGCCGGAAGACCAAGGGUUCCUGUCCAACGUUAAUCGGGGCAGGGUGAGUCGACCCCUAAGGCGAGGCCGAAAGGCGUAGUCGAUGGGAAACAGGUUAAUAUUCCUGUACUUGGUGUUACUGCGAAGGGGGGACGGAGAAGGCUAUGUUGGCCGGGCGACGGUUGUCCCGGUUUAAGCGUGUAGGCUGGUUUUCCAGGCAAAUCCGGAAAACCAAGGCUGAGGCGUGAUGACGAGGCACUACGGUGCUGAAGCGACAAAUGCCCUGCUUCCAGGAAAAGCCUCUAAGCAUCAGGUAACAUCAAAUCGUACCCCAAACCGACACAGGUGGUCAGGUAGAGAAUACCAAGGCGCUUGAGAGAACUCGGGUGAAGGAACUAGGCAAAAUGGUGCCGUAACUUCGGGAGAAGGCACGCUGAUAUGUAGGUGAAGCGACUUGCUCGUGGAGCUGAAAUCAGUCGAAGAUACCAGCUGGCUGCAACUGUUUAUUAAAAACACAGCACUGUGCAAACACGAAAGUGGACGUAUACGGUGUGACGCCUGCCCGGUGCCGGAAGGUUAAUUGAUGGGGUUAGCGGUAACGCGAAGCUCUUGAUCGAAGCCCCGGUAAACGGCGGCCGUAACUAUAACGGUCCUAAGGUAGCGAAAUUCCUUGUCGGGUAAGUUCCGACCUGCACGAAUGGCGUAAUGAUGGCCAGGCUGUCUCCACCCGAGACUCAGUGAAAUUGAACUCGCUGUGAAGAUGCAGUGUACCCGCGGCAAGACGGAAAGACCCCGUGAACCUUUACUAUAGCUUGACACUGAACAUUGAGCCUUGAUGUGUAGGAUAGGUGGGAGGCUUUGAAGUGUGGACGCCAGUCUGCAUGGAGCCGACCUUGAAAUACCACCCUUUAAUGUUUGAUGUUCUAACGUUGGCCCGUAAUCCGGGUUGCGGACAGUGUCUGGUGGGUAGUUUGACUGGGGCGGUCUCCUCCUAAAGAGUAACGGAGGAGCACGAAGGUUGGCUAAUCCUGGUCGGACAUCAGGAGGUUAGUGCAAUGGCAUAAGCCAGCUUGACUGCGAGCGUGACGGCGCGAGCAGGUGCGAAAGCAGGUCAUAGUGAUCCGGUGGUUCUGAAUGGAAGGGCCAUCGCUCAACGGAUAAAAGGUACUCCGGGGAUAACAGGCUGAUACCGCCCAAGAGUUCAUAUCGACGGCGGUGUUUGGCACCUCGAUGUCGGCUCAUCACAUCCUGGGGCUGAAGUAGGUCCCAAGGGUAUGGCUGUUCGCCAUUUAAAGUGGUACGCGAGCUGGGUUUAGAACGUCGUGAGACAGUUCGGUCCCUAUCUGCCGUGGGCGCUGGAGAACUGAGGGGGGCUGCUCCUAGUACGAGAGGACCGGAGUGGACGCAUCACUGGUGUUCGGGUUGUCAUGCCAAUGGCACUGCCCGGUAGCUAAAUGCGGAAGAGAUAAGUGCUGAAAGCAUCUAAGCACGAAACUUGC